GGGGAAUUUUCCGCAAUGGGCGCAAGCCUGACGGAGCAACGCCGCGUGAGGGAUGAAGGCCUCUGGGCUGUAAACCUCUUUUCUCAAGGAAGAAGAUCUGACGGUACUUGAGGAAUAAGCCACGGCUAAUUCCGUGCCAGCAGCCGCGGUAAUACGGGAGUGGCAAGCGUUAUCCGGAAUUAUUGGGCGUAAAGCGUCCGCAGGCGGCCUUGAAAGUCUGUUGUUAAAGCGUGGAGCUUAACUCCAUUUCAGCAAUGGAAACUACAAGGCUAGAGUGUGGUAGGGGCAGAGGGAAUUCCCGGUGUAGCGGUGAAAUGCGUAGGUAUCGGGAAGAACACCAGUGGCGAAGGCGCUCUGCUGGGCCAUAACUGACGCUCAUGGACGAAAGCCAGGGGAGCGAAAGGGAUUAGAUACCCCAGUAGUC
This 424-nucleotide ribosomal RNA is filed under the name uncultured cyanobacterium. Its description in RNAcentral is "bacterial SSU rRNA". It matches the Rfam family "Bacterial small subunit ribosomal RNA", at positions 356 to 795 of the family's 1533-position model. The record is from RNAcentral. Lineage: Bacteria; Bacillati; Cyanobacteriota.